Long non-coding RNA from Artibeus jamaicensis (Jamaican fruit-eating bat), 1456 nucleotides. RefSeq lists it as uncharacterized. The transcript has 4 exons. The record is from RefSeq and is a predicted model, not a curated record. Lineage: Eukaryota; Metazoa; Chordata; Mammalia; Chiroptera; Phyllostomidae.
GCUGUUGGGCUCAGGUGGAUUUUAUCUUUGAAUUGCCAGGUGGUUCAUGUCCUUCUCAGAUGCUUCAGUGAACUGGGACAGAAGCACAGAAAACUAAAAAGAAAUACGUGAUUUCUCUUAAGGUCUAGUUCAGAACUAGCACUCAGUCACUGCUGCCCCUGUUUCAUAGUGAAAGCAAGUCACACGACCAAGCCCAACAUCAACGAGACACAUUCUUGCAUGUGCCCUGACCAAGGAUUGAACAUGCAACCCUGGUGUACUGAGAUGAUGUUCUAAGCAACCAAGCUAACUGGCCAGGAUGAAGUCUUAUUCAUGUUCAUUUCCUAACACUUAGCAGAGUGCCUGGCUCAUAGAGUUGCAGCAGUCUGUCACGCCGAGGUAAUAGUGCUGGGCGAUGGCAGGAAAGACAGCUGACGUCGUCACGCUCCUGCGCCCAGAUCAGCAUCUGCUCACCACUGGACUUCUGGAUGGACAAAAUUGAACAGAGGAAUAUCUCCCCCACUCCAAUGUCCCCUUUCAUACAUCCAAAGACUUUCCUGACCAACUCCCCUCUAUUCAUCUCUCAGUGAGGAACAUGUGACUGCUGGGUUAAGGUACUGUGCUUCUCUGAGGAUUACAAAACGUGAUGAGCAUGUUGGCCAUGUGUUAUACUCAGGACACUAACUACAACCUUGAUGCUUAAGUUGCUUAUUCAUUCAGACAUUUACUGAAUUUUAAUUUUUUUACAGUGAAGAAAGAACUUAGGAAGUUGGUGGAGGAAGAGAAAAACUUUCAGCCACUACACAUAUAUAGAUUUUUGUUCAGUCAUUGUUAAUAUCAUGAGACUGGUUCACAUGACGUCAGUGUAACCUGGCAGUCAAGGAGAGUGGACUGGAGUACAUGUACGUAAACAGUGAUGACCUCACUGUACUAGUCAGUGAGGCUGGUAGAUGCCAUUGAGUGAGCAUGUGUACUGUGUUGUGUGACCAUCACAUUCAAAAUGUCUGAGCAAGUAGAGCAACAAAUCUGCAUUGAAUUUUGCAUUAAGUUUGAACAUUCCUUCAUGGAAACUGAAGGAUGAUUCAGAAGGCUUUCAGGAAUGAGUCAAUGAGUGCAGCACAAAUAAAAGUGUGGCACAAAUGCUUCAAAGAUGGGUGAGAAUCUGUUGAAAAUGAUCCAUGCUCUGGAAGGCCUGCAGAGUUUUAUGGCAAAACAUCAAAUCAUCCAGGUGACUCAGGCCCCCCUACAGCCCAGGUUUGGUGCCCUGUGACUUCUGGCUUUUCCCAAAACUAAAAUCACCUUUCAAAGAUAAUAGAUUUCAGACUGUCAAUGAGAUUCAGGAAAAUACAAUGGAGCAGCUGAUGGCGAUUCCAACAAAGGAUUUUGUAGAGUAUGUUGAACAUUGGACGAAAUGCUGGGAGAACUGGGUGAGGUCCUAAGGUGUCUACGCUGAAGGGGACUGAGGCAUCAUUGUCUU